RNAcentral lists this ribosomal RNA (484 nucleotides) under uncultured bacterium. Its description in RNAcentral is "partial 16S ribosomal RNA". It matches the Rfam family "Bacterial small subunit ribosomal RNA", at positions 30 to 507 of the family's 1533-position model. The record is from RNAcentral.
AUUGAACGCUGGCGGCAGGCCUAACACAUGCAAGUCGAGCGGAUGAAGGGAGCUUGCUCCUGGAUUCAGCGGCGGACGGGUGAGUAAUGCCUAGGAAUCUGCCUGGUAGUGGGGGAUAACGUCCGGAAACGGGCGCUAAUACCGCAUACGUCCUGAGGGAGAAAGUGGGGGAUCUUCGGACCUCACGCUAUCAGAUGAGCCUAGGUCGGAUUAGCUAGUUGGUGGGGUAAAGGCCUACCAAGGCGACGAUCCGUAACUGGUCUGAGAGGAUGAUCAGUCACACUGGAACUGAGACACGGUCCAGCCUCCUACGGGAGGCAGCAGUGGGGAAUAUUGGACGAUGGGCGAAAGCCUGAUCCAGCCAUGCCGCGUGUGUGAAGAAGGUCUUCGGAUUGUAAAGCACUUUAAGUUGGGAGGAAGGGCAGUAAGUUAAUACCUUGCUGUUUUGACGUUACCAACAGAAUAAGCACCGGCUAACUUCGUG